This 685-nucleotide long non-coding RNA is filed under the name Olea europaea subsp. europaea. Lineage: Eukaryota; Viridiplantae; Streptophyta; Magnoliopsida; Lamiales; Oleaceae. The record is from RNAcentral.
CCGCCCUAGCUGGAUCCAAUUCCUAGAUUCACCAUUGAUUUUGACAUGUGAUGAUUCUCCCCAGGUAGGUCAACCUUCAAACUUCAACUAGAUUAAUAACCUCACUAGAAAUCUAAAUCAACAAUUAAGUAUCCAAGCUUAGCAGGAUAGAAACAUGCUUAUGGUUGUUUUGCAGCUACCUUAACACACUUUUUCUUUUCUUUUCUUUAAUUUUCUAUUUUGUCCCCUCUUUUAGUAUUUAUAUCUUUUCAAUUGUUUCAUAUGUAGUUUCUACUCAACGUUGCAGCAUCUCCCAAUCAUCGAUGAUGAAUAUGGCCAAAUUAUUCAAGGCUCGCUUCACACAACCUAUGUUGCUCCGACUCUCCAAAAGUGGAGAACUAUUCGUGUCAACACGACAUGACACGGAUACUGACACAAGAUAUAGAUUGAAUCCUCGAUUUUACACUUGGACACGACUAGAAGAUGACGGAAGGUGUCUUGCUUCUCUGGGGACUGAAAAUUUUGCAGAGAGAGAGAGAGAGAUUUGGGGGAAGACAAUGAAUUAGGAAAGACGAUGAGUUUUAAGGGGUUAAAUGGACUUUUGAGAAGUCCAAUGGAUAGAGUAAAUGAGAGUGUAUUAAAUGGGCUCUUGUGAAGUCCAAUGAAUGUAGUUAAUGAGUUUAUUUUUGUAUAAUUUAAAUUGAGU